This 171-nucleotide ribosomal RNA is filed under the name uncultured bacterium. Its description in RNAcentral is "partial 16S ribosomal RNA". It matches the Rfam family "Bacterial small subunit ribosomal RNA", at positions 338 to 524 of the family's 1533-position model. The record is from RNAcentral.
CCUACGGGAGGCAGCAGCCGCGGUAAUAUUGGACAAUGGGCGCAAGCCAGAUCCAGCCAUGCCGCGUGAGUGAUGGAGGCCCUAGGGUUGUAAAGCUCUUUCACCGGUGAAGAUAAUGACGGUAACCGGAGAAGAAGCCCCGGCUAACUUCGUGCCAGCAGCCGCGGUAAU